RNAcentral lists this long non-coding RNA (2460 nucleotides) under Triticum aestivum (bread wheat). RNAcentral describes it as "long non-coding RNA (TAES_LNC003713)". Lineage: Eukaryota; Viridiplantae; Streptophyta; Magnoliopsida; Poales; Poaceae. The record is from RNAcentral.
UGUCUCGCUCGCCCCUAUCGCUCUCUGCCUCUCUCCCACCGCAUCUCCCUCGCCCGCGUCGCCGCGCAUCUCCCUCGCCCGCGUAGCAGCCGCAUCUCCCUCGCCUGCUUCGCUGCAUCUCCCUUAACCGCGUCGCCGCUGCCCUCUUUCUCUCGCGUCAUCCCUGGUUCGUCGUCCCAAGAUUCGAUUUUUACCACCGGAGGAGCUGCUGGAGUCGGAGGAGCUGCGGGAAGAGGAACUGUGGAGGUGAGGAGCUGCCGGAUCUGUGCGGCGGUGGGGAGCUGCUGCAUCUGUGCGGCGGUGACGAGGAGUAGUAGGCGAUGGUGAGCAGUUGGACCCACGACGGCACCUCCGCCCUGCCCAAGCGCGUCGUACACCACCUGACGCCGAAGGAUGCGGUCGAACACCACCUGCAGCAGCUUGUCGUCGCCGCGGCCGCCACCGUCCUCCUCGCGCGCGGCCUCCAUGAGCGACUCCUUGAGGAGCAGCCGUUGCGUCAGGUGGCGAGUGGAUGGACGUGGUGGCCCGGCUGUGCGUCCAUGGAUGAUGGCUCCUUGAGGUAUUGCUCUCUCUUCCUCUUCCUGUCUCUUCUCCGUGAAAACUUAAUGUCAGAUGGAGAUUCUUGUGUACUGCUAGGAGUAGUGCUAGCAAAUGGAGAUUCUUGUGAUCUUGUGUACUGCUAGGAGUAGUGCUAGCAAAUGUUACAGAUGCUAAUGUCAGUUAUGAGGCCUUAAUUGCCUACCGAGCUCUCUGUAAUCAACCAAGUAGCAGCAGCACUCCAACAUUUCUUCAAAGGUUUACUGUUGAUGGUCGAUUGUUUUGCUUCAGUUGUCGUUCGGUUCAGAGUUCCAAUACUUUGUUGUGCUUGCAGGGCGACGCUGACGGUGGUGCUUGUGGUGCCCGACGCUGACGAUUUUACUACUCCUCUUGCAAUAGUACUGUUGUUUCCUCACCAACAUCUGUGCUAGUGUAGUUUUGGUUAAAUUUGCAAUGAGCUAAUGGAGUAUUGUACUCCUCUUGCAGCAGUACUGUACUGUACUCAUCUUACAGUAGUUAGUGAGUACUCCAACAGUACUUACUGUAGUUUCUCUCCAUCUUCUCUCAAUUUUAAAUGAAACUUUAAUUUAAACUUUAAAAUUAACUGAAGCUUUACUUCAAAACUGCAAUUGUUGUGCUGUAGUUUAUGUAGUUUCAGUACUGUUUUGGAGUAGUGGUUGCAAAAUUUGGAGUAGCAAGCAGAUCCAGUAUUUGGAGUACCUGAAUAAUCAGAUUUGGAGUUUCUGAUUUACUGUCAUAUUAGCUUGGAGCAGUAGCAGUGCUUGCUCUGCUCUUCUCUUCUCAAAUAAAAAAAGUGAGUUCAAGAUUUGGAGUAGUGUAGAUCUUCUCUUCUCUUUUCAGUUAAUUUAAAUUAACUCAAACCUUUCAGAUUUGGAGUAUUAAUUAAACUAACUUAAACCCUUUUAUGUUAAUUAAACUAAUUAAAUGAAAUCUUUUGCUGUUUAGUGGAGUAAUUUAGUGUAUAUUGCUCCUCUCCUCUCCUCUCUCUUCUCUUCUCUUCUCUUCUCUUCUCUUCUCUUCAGUACUCCACUAAAUUGGAGUACUUGGCAGUAGGAGUAGUUCUUGGAGUAGGAGUAUAGUGUAGGACAGCAGUAGUAUAUUUAUUAAUAAAGCAUUGCAGUACUCCUGGACGUUAGUACUCCAUGGAGUUACUCCAAUAGCUUAAUCCAGUUACUUACUCUCUUCUUAUCUCUCCUCUCUUCUCUUCUCUUAUCUGGAAAUUAACUGUAAAUUAAAACCUUUCCUGUUAAUUAAAUCUAAAAUAAACCUUUUCUGUUAAUUAAAUCUAAAUUAAACUUUUUCUGCUAAUUAAAUCUAAAUUAAUCCUCUCCUUUUCUAUUCCACUCCUUUCCUCUCCUAGCCCUUUCCUCCUAAGAAAAUAAGAGAAUUCACUCCACACAAGCCGAUGCAAACAUAUGGAGUUAAAAUGAUCAUACAAAUGGAGCAAAAAAAUCCACUCCACACAAGCCUUUGCAAACAUACUCAGAUAUGGAUGAUAAUCAUACUCCACACAAAUAAUAACAAGGAUGCAACAAGCAUACUCCACAAGCCUCAUCUCAGGUCUCUUGACAACAAGCAUUCAGGCCUCUUCCAUCACUGAACCCUCGCCAUUAGCCCUAAGUUGUGUAGGGCAUUUGCGUAAACCUCUUGAGGGCACGACAAUCUUGGAGGUAGCUUCCCAAGACCCUCAAGUCUUUCCUUGUUCACAUGUGGUAUUUUAUACCCAUUGCCCCCAGCAUGGUUCAGGAUCUCAAUCAUGCACGUUUGCAGAGUUAGGAAAAUUCUGUUGAGCUUGUAAACCUCAUAGCCAUCAAAUUCCUCCAAAACACCAUUAAUAAGGUCUUGUAGUGUUUUAGGACUCAGACAAUCUGUCAGGGAUUGCAGCGAGUUGAAAAACCCAAG